This 7890-nucleotide long non-coding RNA is filed under the name Medicago truncatula (barrel medic). RNAcentral describes it as "long non-coding RNA (MTRU_LNC006568)". The record is from RNAcentral. Lineage: Eukaryota; Viridiplantae; Streptophyta; Magnoliopsida; Fabales; Fabaceae.
CAAGUAAGUUAGAGUUUUAAAUGAGAAAUCAAAAUCACAAGUAACUCGACCAUUUUAAAUUGAAUUUAUUUAUCCAACGAAUUCAAUUUUUUAUUCAACUUAAACUCAUUUGAUUCGUAUAUUUUUUACAGACCUUUGUUUGAAGAGUUAGCCGGAAAGACAUCAGUAUGGGGAGCCUUGUCACCUAAUGUGCAACAAGUGUCUUUCAAUGUGGAUUCUGAGUUUAAUAAACUUUUCAUAUCUAAGGCCACAGAAACCACAAGUCUCAUUCUCCCUACCAUUUAGUUUGACUUGUUUAUAGUAUACCCCAAUAAUAUUCUUAUGUGUGGAAUAUUUCUUUUAUUGAAUAUGUGUGGAAUUUAUGUAAUAAGGUGUUUGAUUUUUUUAUUUUUUUUGUUAAUUAAUAAACCCUACCCAAAUGGUGGGUAGAGUUUGUAUGCCAUGAUGUUACAUCCAGGCACCACCAUUUAUAAAUUUUAAUUAUCGGAAAAAAAAAAAAGUUCUAUGAUAAGUAUAAAUAUUGAUUAAUGUGAAUUGUGAAACUACAUGGACAUCCAACCAUGAUAAGCUUAAUGUAUUUUGGUAAUACAUACGCAACAUGAUCUUAGUAUAUGUGAAUGUCGUGUCAAACAUGAGAUGUUGUAGAAGAGUUAUGAGCCUAGGGAAAGCUAUUGACUAAUCCAACUUAACUCUUAUCACUUGAACCCAAAGUCUGAAGGUGUUGUUAAAAAUAAUGAUAAUUAGAAAAUAAUGAUAAUUAGUUAGUAGUUUAGGUGAUUAGUUAAUUACUUGGUUGGUUAGUUAAGCUCCAAAUAUGUUUUGUUUUUAAGGGGUAUGCUCCAAGUAUGUUCUAUAAAUAGAAUAUUAAUGUAUUCAUUUUUAAAGUAUCUUUUAUCGAAAUUAGUCUCUGAGUUUGUUUGUUUUAUUUCUUCUUUAAAUAUCUAUAUAUAAAAAAGCAACCACAAAUCCCUCCAAAAUCUAAUUGAUGUGUCCUUCCUUAGUUUUACAUCGUCUGCUAAUCAAUUAAGAUGUAUGUCUUCAGACCUCUCAAUUGACAAUGAACAUUUCUUUUUAGACUCUUCAAUACCUCUAAGGUCUCUUAAAUAUGGUAGUUACGGGCUUUAGAGAUAUUAGAGAACGUAAGGAGAAACGUCCAUUGACAUAAAUCAAACCAUCAUGAGGAUUGUUUCAACCUAUUGACAUAAAUUUAUUUUUGGAUACUUGAAAGGAUUUCAUGUUACACACCACUUAUAUAUAAUUUUUUAAUAUUUGAAAAACACUCAAAUCUCUAACCCAACACCUCACACACAUUUCUUAAACAAGACCAACUAAACAUCUAUCAAUAGUUCUAUGUCUUUAUAUUUUAUUUUUUAAAAUAUUAAAGAGACGUAAGAUCCACUUAGAGAGAUGACUUAGUAAAACUCAUUUACUCUAUAAACCUCACUUGACUUUUCUAUCCAGUUAGGGUGUCUAUUAGGAAUAAAAGGCUGAUGAAGUUAAGCCUCCCUUUUAUUGAUGGUCUUAACCCAACAAACUUUAGGGUUCUGCUAUAUAACUAUUAUAUAAUUUCCUUUUUCAUAUCCUUAAUCAGUGCCUCGGAGGCAGCGGUUAGUAUUUCCCCAAACUUUAUUCACAUCAUUGCACUAUAAUGAGAAGAUAAAUUAAUUUUCUGUUCUAAUAAUAAAUUUGAAAAAAAAUUAAUAUAAAUAUAAAUUAUUCCAAAUUUAAUAUUACUCUCAAUUUUUUUAAUUUUAGCAAUAAAUAAAUAUAAAAGAAAAAUGUUAACGAGUGCUCCCGGGGUACUCUUUAAGCUAUCAAAAACAAGAAAUUAUUCUUUAAAAAAGUCAAAUAUUUCGAUUUCCAAAACAUUAAUUACAUGCAUUUUCAUAAUAUUCUUACUACUUAUGGUUCUUAAAGAGUUAACAAGACCCUAUAUAUUUAUAGAUGAAGAUUGUAAAAGUAUAGGAUAAAAGCACAUGUGAUGAAGCAUGAGUACGAUUGCACAAAAUAAAAAGGGUAUAUAUGGUGACAAUGGUGCAAUGUAAGAAUGAUCAUGAUUGAAAGGGAAAAUACAAAAGGGUAUAUAUGGUGUAUGUUGAAUGGGACAACUUCGGUGUCUCUAUUAUUGACGCUGUGUUGGACAAUGUUAGGAAGAAAACUAAGUCUGUAUUACUCAUUUGAUUUUCAACGGUUUUUAAGAUUUUGAUGACCUAAAACGAAACUAUAAUUUGGAUCCUAAUUAAUAAAUAGUAUUAAAAGUAAUUUUUUAUUACGUUGAGAAAUAAUCUAAUAAAAACAUUAGACUUUAUAUAAAAAAUAUUAAAUUUUUUAUUUAAUAUUCAAUUGAUCUAAUAGAGGUGGACCAAUUCAUUAUUGAGGGGAUGCAACUGUACACUUUAAAAUUUUUAAUUUUUCUUUUCAUUUUGAACCCCUCACAUUUUCAUUUUGCAUCAAUAAAUGUAUUUUUCACCGACGAAACCUAUCAUUUUUCACCUUGUUGUUGUUGACUGACAACUGACAUAUACAUGCAAUGGUACAAUGUUAACUGAAAAUUUUAUUUUUUGUUACAAUGUUAAUUGUAAUUUUUUGUUUACAAGGCGAAUGAGACAAACCAAACAAGAAAAGAAACGGAACAAAAGAAACAAAUUACUCCCUAAGGAAGAAAGUUCCAGAAGCAACGUUCCUUAGCAAAUUGAGAAGACCAUUUGGAGGGGAUGCAUGAAUUAACAAGUCAUGGUUCCCUUCUCUAAGGGUGUGAUAAAUAAAGACUUUGCUUUAAGAAAUAAGUUCUUUAAUGUACUGAAUUAAAACAAUAUAGAAAUGAUACUUCACAAAGGGGUCAUUGAUGAGGUUAAUGCAGAGAAGAUAAUCUGAGUAGUAUACAAACUCAUCAAUACCCAAGUCUUUGGCAGUGAUGAAAUCUUUGUAAAUUUCAGAAGUUCAGCGAACAUAAUAUAAAAAGAACAUGUAAGGUGAGUUGACAAAGCCGAUAAAAAGAAACCUAAAUUAUUUCAAAGGACGCCUCUAAAACCAGCCCUGGAUGAAGACCCAAGACAACUCUCAUCCACAUUUAGAAUGACACACUGAUGAUUACUAUUAUUCCACUUGAUUAAACAAUCAUCUGAAGCAACAUUAACAUUGUACGAGAAGCUAUACUUGAGGACUUCUACCGUAUUGAAUAUUGAAAAAGAGGCGGUUUAAGGACAUUGUUUUGCUAUUCAAGCACAUCAAAUUUCGGUGUCUCCAAGCCCAUCAAACACACGGUGAAAAGAUGAUUGAUUGUUGUUCCGGACUAGGCCGAGGCCCAAUCUCGGUUAAGACCCGACUCCAACUGAGAUUCAUUGCAGAGUGAAUCCAUAUUAUGGACAUGCACUAAAACCCACUAGAUCAUUGUCUAAACCUUUAACAUGGACUGUCCAGUUCAGAUCCAAUGUCGUGAUUAUUUCUAGAACACCAUUCAGGACACAUGUCCAAGUGAAGGCCUAACAGCCAAAAGCCCAUUUACCCACUAUAUAUACUAUUGCACAAUAUUGGAUCAUCUAUCUCCCUCUUUUCCCUAAUAUUUGAUUUCACUCUUUGAGCGUCAUAGCACGUGUAAGUACACCACCCUUCUUCGGUUGAGAAGGACUUACGACAGACUAUGACGGACCCAUGAUAGAUUACUCACUCUUCUUAGUAGCACUCAACAUAAUAAAUAUUAUUUAUAGGACUAAAAUAAAAUUAGUUAAAUAUUUUUUUUGUCCCUACAAAAUGAAGACCUUUUAAAUUUAAUUUUACUUAAUUUUAAUUGUUCUUUUAGUUCUUUCAAAAAAAUUCUACACAGUCUUAGUCCUUGAUAAAAUUAAAUAUGUUUAAUUACUCUUUAACGCAACUCUUAUGUUUUUAAACCAUUUUUUGCUAAAAUAUUUAAAUAUUAUAAAAAGUUUCUCCAUAAAAAUAAGUUCAAAUUUUAUUUCUAGGUCUAAAUUUUAGUUACUUUUUUCCUUGAAAAAAAUCAUAUUUAAUUAAUCUAAACUCUUAAAUUUUUUAAUAGGUUUUUAAAAGACAUGUUCAGAAAUUAUAAAUAGUAUAUUUAAUAAAAAAAAAAUUACGAAAUUUGGUAAAAGAGAGUGCCGUACCGUUUUGCUCAUCCGUGAAAUUUAGUAUGCACCGAAUUCGUACCAUUCAACAUUUCUCAAAAAAUUAAUACAUUGUUAAAUGACCAAAACUUUGCUUUUUUCCUGUUUUAUGUUUUGGUCCUGUUACAUACAAAACAAAACUAGGUAAUAUGGUCCUAUUACAGUAAAUUUCUUUUCAGACGCUACAGUGACCUAUCCUAUGUUGUGCAGGGACGCCACUCACUUGAUUGAAUUAUUGCUCUGUACGUUUGCAUUGAGGAAAAGAGUUUUCUUUUUCUUCUUUAACAAAAGAGUUAAGAGGACUAGCGUUCAAAGAAAACAAAGAACAAACUAAAACAUGAAUUUAACAUUUUUAAGCAUAUAAGCCUAUUUAAUAUUAUAAAAAAAAAAUUCUAAAUCUCGUUAGGAAAAGUUUUCAUAACAUGAAUGUUUCUUGAUUAUGUCGAAAUGAUAAAAUUAACAAGCUAACCAACACUCUGAUUUUCCUUCUAUAAAAUAUGUUAAAUGUCUAAUUUAAACAUGCCAACUCAAGAAUAACAUACAAUGAAUGCGACACAUCAAAGCAAGAGGAGCAGCCCUCUUAAUCAUGUUGUUAUGUCUCAUCUCAAAUCAUAUCUACAAGAAUCUUUGAAUCACUUUGUAAAACGAAAAGGGGUAUUGACACUCUCUUUUUAACAAUAUCUAUAACACUUACUCUUUUAUCGGAUAAAAUUCAUGUGGAUACAACACAUUUAAAAUGGAUCCCACAUAAAGUGAUAAUACACAUGGGUUCAUCCAAUAGAAAUUGAGUGUUAAAAGAGACAGCUAAAAACAGAGUGUUUCUAACAUUUUUCUUUACAACAAGAAAAACAAAUCUACAAUUAUUACCACAAGCUUUCCAAAUUACAUCAAUCGAAAAAAAUUUUGGCUUAAAUUCUAGCAUAUAUUUGUUUUUUUACUAAAGAAUAUUGUGUGUAUCAGGUAAAACCAAUAAUUUAUGAUUUGUUUGUUAUAAAUUAAAAUAAAAGUGAUUUUAUCAGUGAAUAAUUUAGAGAUUUAAAAGGAAAAUUAAGAUCUAUUUUGCGUUUGUUUAAAAAAGAAAUGUUACAAAAUUAACUCAAUCUUUCACACUUAUUUUCUCUCAUCUAGAAGAAUCUGGUUUUUAGAAGCUACUUCUAACAACUUCUAAUUCAAAGUUGUUUUUAUAUUAUAUCUUUUUAAAAAGUUGUAAAAUAGAUGCAAUACUCUUAAAAAUAAUUAUUAAAAAAAAAAAAAUUCCCUUCAAAAAGUUAUUUGAAAUGGACUCUUAAUUUAUAAUUUAUAAGCUCACAUGACAAAAAAAAAAAAAAAAAAACUUGUUUGAUAUUUCUAUUUUAUUAAAAAUUUAUAACUUAUUCCAAAGGUCGAUCCAAGAGUAAUGCCGCCAAUGCCCUCACUUUAGACCUAUCAACAAAAAGUUAAUGAUUAAGUGUUUUUUCACUAAGUAUAAACAAUGAAAUGAAGAUAAAUAUACAAUUUUAGCGAAUUAAAUUAACUUAAUAAUAAUAUAUAAAAGAUAUAUCAAAUUAAUAAAUUAAGUCACUAAUUUCUAAAUACUUUAGUAUUAUUUGAUAUACAUUUUAUUAUGAUUUAAGGAUAUUAUUUUAUGUUAUUUUAUAUUCAUCUUCUAAUUAAACCGCUAAUUUUACAACCCUUUAAUUAACUUAUCAAUUAUAACCUAUCCCCUAUUUUACAUCUCUCUUAUUUUCCAAGCCAAUCAUAAGCAAUCAACAACUUGGAACAGUAUCCUACUUCAUAUAUAUAUAUACCUCCCUCAGUCUUGAACUCAUGAACUGAGCUUGCGCGUUCACACUAUAUUUUUGAACUAAGGAACACUGAUAUUUAUAAAUUUUGAAAAGCUUUUUUAGGGGAGAAAAAAUUCAAUGGAGUUGGACCUAACACCUAAGGCAGCACAACCAUUGUUUGAAGGAGAUGGUGGUUGUUACUACAUUUGGUUAAGUUCUCAAGUUCCAGUUUUGGCUAAGACCAAUGUUGGUGCUGCCCAUCUUGUGCUUCACCCAGGAGGCUUAGCUCUUCCCCAUUAUGGAGAUUGUUCCAAAGUUGGUUACGUCGUAGAAGGUAAUAUUAGAGAAAUCUUAAACUAUUAAGUUUUGGCUUAAAUAUGUAUUUCCUUUCAAUUAAGGGUCGUUUAAAAAUUGGUCUAUGUAAUCGCUAAUCCUGACAAUUUACCCUUGCAUUGUUUAAUCAUUUAAAAUUUCGUCCCUCUCCCCACUUAAUCACUGCCACGUCACUAAUUUGAUGACGUGACAAUCACUGUCAUACAUGAAAUUUCAAUUUUACCCUUGAGCUUCCAAUUCUCUCUUCAAUAUUUUGUCCUCUUCUUAAAGGCAAAAUUGGAAUUUCACGUGUGAUAGUGAUUGCCACGUCAUCAAAUUAGUGACGUGGCAGUGAUUAAGUUGGUCAAAGGACGAAAUUUUAAAUGAUUAAUGAUUGCAAGGCUAGUUUGCAAGGAUUAGCAAAUACAUAGACCAAUUUUUAAACGAUAUCUAAUUGCAACGAUGAAAUACAUAUUUAAGCCUUAAGUUUUUUAUAAUGAAUGUGUUUAGUUAUUUAUUCAAAUGUCCUCAAAUGCAUGCAGGGACUAAUGGUGUAGUUGGAAUGAUACUCCCCAGCACCGGAAAAGAAGUAGUUUUGAAGCUUAAGCAAGGAGACAUUGUACCAGUACCCAUUGGAGCUGUUUCAUGGUGGUUCAAUGAUGGUGACUCAGACUUUAAAAUUAUAUAUCUUGGGGAAACUUCAAAUGCUCUUGUUCCAGGGGAAUUCACAUAUUUUAUCCUAGGUGGUGUUCUAGGACUUUUAGGAAGUUUUUCUAGUGAAUUAAUAAGCAAAGUAUACAAUUUUAAUAAAGAUGAGGUGACCAAGCUAACACAAAGCCAAACUGGGGUUACAAUAAUCAAGUUAGAAAAAGGCCAACCUAUGCCUAAGCCACAAAUGGACCUAACUAAAGACCUUGUUUAUGACAUUGAUGCUAAAGCCCCAGAAAUUAAGGAAAAAAAUGUGGGAUUAGUCACAAGCUUAACGGAGAAAGAUUUUCCUUUUAUUAAGGAUGUUGGGUUAAGUGUGAUUAGGGUUAAACUUGAACCUAAUGCUAUUAAGGCACCUUCAAACCUAAUUACCCCUGGGAUUCAGCUAAUUUACAUUGCUAGAGGAAGUGGAAAAAUUGAAAUUGUGGGAAUCAAUGGAAAACGUGUCUUGGAUUCUCAAGUUAAGCCUGGUCAUUUGAUUGUUGUACCAAAGUUCUUUGUGAUUGCUCAAAUUGCAGGUGAAGAAGGAAUGGAGAGUUACUCUAUUGUGACAACUACCAAGUAAGUUGGAGUUUUAAACAUUAACAUAACUUGUUUGAGAAAUCAAAAUCACACAUAAAUGAAUCAAACGAGAUAAACUAUAUAUUGUUUAAAUUGAAUUUAUUGAUCCGAAUAAUUCAAUUUUUAUUCUACUUAAACUCAUUUGAUUCGUGAAUCAAGUUGAUAAUCAUAUCAAUCUAAAACUAUUUUUUAUUUGGUUUAGUUAAUUUUCAGUCUAACAUUAUUAGGGGUGGGUUGCACUAACAAAAAUAAUUGUAUAUUUAUUGCAGGCCUUUGUUUGAAGAGUUAGCCGGAGAUACAUCAGUUUGGGGAGCCUUAUCACCUACGGUGCAACAGGUGUCUUUCAAUGUGGAUUCCGAGUUUCAAAACCUUUUCAUAUCUAAGAGCACAAAAACCACAAAUCUCAUUCUCCCUACCAUUUAGUUUGG